Molecule: ribosomal RNA, 73 nt
Filed under: Euphrasia officinalis
Lineage: Eukaryota; Viridiplantae; Streptophyta; Magnoliopsida; Lamiales; Orobanchaceae
Also listed under: 2 other names
Description: partial 26S ribosomal RNA
Rfam family: Eukaryotic large subunit ribosomal RNA (bases 17-73)
Source: RNAcentral
ACCGAGCUUUCGACCGCGACCCCAGGUCAGACGGGAUUACCCGCUGAGUUUAAGCAUAUCAAUAAGCGGAGGA